UACGGAGGGGGCUAGCGUUGUUCGGAAUUACUGGGCGUAAAGCGCACGUAGGCGGACUGGAAAGUUGGAGGUGAAAUCCCAGGGCUCAACCUUGGAACUGCCUUCAAAACUAUCAGUCUGGAGUUCGAGAGAGGUGAGUGGAAUUCCGAGUGUAGAGGUGAAAUUCGUAGAUAUUCGGAGGAACACCAGUGGCGAAGGCGGCUCACUGGCUCGAUACUGACGCUGAGGUGCGAAAGCGUGGGGAGCAAACAGG
This 253-nucleotide ribosomal RNA is filed under the name uncultured bacterium. RNAcentral describes it as "partial 16S ribosomal RNA". It matches the Rfam family "Bacterial small subunit ribosomal RNA", at positions 524 to 776 of the family's 1533-position model. The record is from RNAcentral.